AUAAAAUGUGAGUAUGGCUGAUGAUCAACUCUCCGUUUGAGUUCUGAAUCUUCUGUACAGAGCUGUCACCACUUCAACCUGCUAGGAAAACAGAAAGAUGUCCCAGAAAGCUGAAGAUAUUAUACUUCUUCUACUUCUGAUCAUGAUUUAUGGCCCGAAUGGUGGAGAAUGCAACCAGGCACAUCUAAAACUGAUGAAUAAGACAAUGGAGAUGAGAAUCUCAUUCGCAUCUAGACCCAACGUUACUGUUUCGGACACUGCGGAACAGAUACUUUGUUAUUCAACAACAAAUUUGUGUUAUAUUGAGUGCUCCUAUCAUGAUUUCUUUGCAAACAAAAACUUUACACAACCAGAAACAUUG
Molecule: long non-coding RNA, 361 nt
Filed under: Sinocyclocheilus anshuiensis
Lineage: Eukaryota; Metazoa; Chordata; Actinopteri; Cypriniformes; Cyprinidae
Description: lncRNA (ENSSANG00000034020.1)
Source: RNAcentral